This 497-nucleotide ribosomal RNA is filed under the name uncultured bacterium. RNAcentral describes it as "partial 16S ribosomal RNA". It matches the Rfam family "Bacterial small subunit ribosomal RNA", at positions 28 to 507 of the family's 1533-position model. The record is from RNAcentral.
GAUGAACGCUGGCGGCGUGCCUAAUACAUGCGAGUCGAGCGAACAGACGAGGAGCUUGCUCCUCUGACGUUAGCGGCGGACGGGUGAGUAACACGUGGAUAACCUACCUAUAAGACUGGGAUAACUUCGGGAAACCGGAGCUAAUACCGGAUAAUAUAUUGAACCGCAUGGUUCAAUAGUGAAAGACGGUUUUGCUGUCACUUAUAGAUGGUUCCGCGCCGCAUUAGCUAGUUGGUAAGGUAACGGCUUACCAAGGCAACGAUGCGUAGCCGACCUGAGAGGGUGAUCGGCCACACUGGAACUGAGACACGGUCCAGACUCCUACGGGAGGCAGCAGUAGGGAAUCUUCCGCAAUGGGCGAAAGCCUGACGGAGCAACGCCGCGUGAGUGAUGAAGGUCUUCGGAUCGUAAAACUCUGUUAUUAGGAAAGAACAAAUGUGUAAGUAACUAUGCACGUCUUGACGGUACCUAAUCAGAAAGCCACGGCUAACUACGUG